ACGGGAGGCAGCAGUGGGGAAUAUUGCACAAUGGGGGAAACCCUGAUGCAGCGACGCCGCGUGAGUGAUGAAGUAUUUCGGUAUGUAAAGCUCUAUCAGCAGGGAAGAAAAUGACGGUACCUGACUAAGAAGCCCCGGCUAACUACGUGCCAGCAGCCGCGGUAAUACGUAGGGGGCAAGCGUUAUCCGGAUUUACUGGGUGUAAAGGGAGCGUAGACGGCAAUGCAAGUCUGAAGUGAAAGCCCGCGGCUCAACUGCGGGACUGCUUUGGAAACUGUAUAGCUUGAGUGUCGGAGAGGUAAGUGGAAUUCCCAGUGUAGCGGUGAAAUGCGUAGAUAUUGGGAGGAACACCAGUGGCGAAGGCGGCUUACUGGACGAUAACUGACGCUGAGGCUCGAAAGCGUGGGGAGCAAACAGGAUUAGAUACCCUGGUA
This 434-nucleotide ribosomal RNA is filed under the name uncultured Clostridium sp. RNAcentral's name for it is "partial 16S ribosomal RNA". It matches the Rfam family "Bacterial small subunit ribosomal RNA", at positions 341 to 792 of the family's 1533-position model. Lineage: Bacteria; Bacillati; Bacillota; Clostridia; Eubacteriales; Clostridiaceae. The record is from RNAcentral.